This 702-nucleotide ribosomal RNA is filed under the name uncultured archaeon. RNAcentral's name for it is "bacterial SSU rRNA". It matches the Rfam family "Archaeal small subunit ribosomal RNA", at positions 206 to 912 of the family's 1478-position model. The record is from RNAcentral.
AGGAUGAGACUGCGUCUGAUUAGGUAGUUGGUGGGGUAACGGCCCACCAAGCCCAUCAUCAGUACGGGUUGUGGGAGCAAGAUCCCGGAGAUGGAUUCUGAGACAUGAAUCCAGGCCCUACGGGGCGCAGCAGGCGCGCAAACUUUACAAUGCGAGCAAUCGUGAUAAGGAAACCCUGAGUGCCUGUUGAUGCAGGCUGUUCAUUAGUUUAAAUUGCUAGUGAAGAAAGGGCAGGGCAAGACCGGUGCCAGCCGCCGCGGUAAUACCGGCUGCUCGAGUGAUGGCCACUAUUACUGGGUUUAAAGCGUCCGUAGCUUGAUUGUUAGGUCUCUUGGGAAAUCUUCAGGCUUAACCUUAAGGCGUCUAAGAGAUACCGGCAAUCUUGGGACUGGGAGAGGUAAACCGUACUUCGGGGGUAGGAGUGAAAUCUUGUAAUCCUCGAGGGACGACCUAUGGCGAAGGCAGUUUACCAGAACAGCUUCGACAGUGAGGGACGAAAGCUGGGGGAGCAAACGGGAUUAGAUACCCCGGUAGUCCCAGCCGUAAACAAUGUGCGUUAGGUGUAUCGGCAACCACGCGUUACUGAUGCGCCGCAGAGAAAUCGUGAAACGCACCACCUGGGAAGUAUGGUCGCAAGGCUGAAACUUAAAGGAAUUGGCGGGGGAGCACCACAACAGGUGGAGCCUGCGGUUUAAUUGGAUU